UACAGAGGUCCCAAGCGUUGUUCGGAUUCAUUGGGCGUAAAGGGUGCGUAGGCGGCGCGGUAAGUCGGGUGUGAAAUCUCAGGGCUUAACUCCGAAACUGCAUUCGAUACUGCCGUGCUUGAGUCCCGGAGAGGAAAGCGGAACUGCACGUGUAGCGGUGAAAUGCGUUGAUAUGUGCAGGAACACCAAUGGCGAAGGCAGCUUUCUGGACGAGGACUGACGCUCAUGUUCGAAAGCCAAGGUAGCGAACAGG
This 253-nucleotide ribosomal RNA is filed under the name uncultured bacterium. RNAcentral describes it as "partial 16S ribosomal RNA". It matches the Rfam family "Bacterial small subunit ribosomal RNA", at positions 524 to 776 of the family's 1533-position model. The record is from RNAcentral.